GAUGAAGAACGCAGUGAAAUGCGAUACUUGGUGUGAAUUGCAGAAUCCCGUGAACCAUCGAGUCUUUGAACGCAAGUUGCGCCCGAAGCCAUCAGGUUGAGGGCACGUCUGCCUGGGCGUCACAUAUCGUUGCCCAAUGCCUAUUGCAGUGCAAUAGGAAUUUCUAGGGCGAAUGAUGGCUUCCCGUGAGCGUUGUUGCCUCGCGGUUGGUUGAAAAUCGAGUCCUUGGUAGGGUGUGCCAUGGUAGAUGGUGGUCGAGUUAGAACGAUACCGAUCAUGUGCAUGCUCCCCAAAAUAUGGCCUCUAUGACCCACACGUGUCUUUUGACGCUCAUGACGAGACCUCAGGUCAGGCGGGGCUACCCGCUGAAUUUAAGCAUAUCAAUAAGCGGAGGA
RNAcentral lists this unclassified non-coding RNA (395 nucleotides) under soil metagenome. RNAcentral's name for it is "partial contains 5.8S ribosomal RNA, internal transcribed spacer 2, and large subunit ribosomal RNA". The stretch from base 1 to 122 matches the Rfam family "5.8S ribosomal RNA", at positions 35 to 154 of the family's 154-position model. The record is from RNAcentral.